UUUUUACAUUCAAAUGACUAACCAAAAAAAACAUACAAGUAAAAAUUGUAAUCUCUAUAAUCUUGAUUCGAGCCUUCGCGACUUGAAUUCUAAAAUUCACCCUAUUUUUCAGGCGGGCUCCUAGACUUACAACUUUUUUCUUCACCCUGUUCUUCAGGAGGGUUCCUAGACUUACAACUUAUUCAUCCCGUUCUUCAGGCAUGCUCCUAGACUUACAACUUCUUCACCUUGUUCUUAGGCGGGCUCCUGGAUUUACAAUUUCUUUACCCUAUUUUUCAGGCGGGCUCCUGGACUUUCUUUUUCUUCACCCUGUUCUUCAGGCGGGCUCUUCAACUUGCAAUUUCUUCACCCUAUUUUUCAGGCGGGUUUCUGGACUUCCUUUUUCUUUACCCUGUUCUUCAGGCGGGCUCCUGAACUUGCAAUUUCUUCACUCUGUUUUUCAGACGGGCUCCUGUACUUCCUUUUUCUUCACCCUGUUCUUCAGGCGGGCUCCUGGACUUACAAUUUCUUCACCCUGUUCUUCAGGCGGGCUCCUGGACUCAAAGUAAAUAGUGAAACAGAAAAAUA
Molecule: long non-coding RNA, 567 nt
Filed under: Capsicum annuum
Lineage: Eukaryota; Viridiplantae; Streptophyta; Magnoliopsida; Solanales; Solanaceae
Description: long non-coding RNA (CANN_LNC013102)
Source: RNAcentral